This 72-nucleotide transfer RNA is filed under the name Candidatus Hodgkinia cicadicola. RNAcentral's name for it is "tRNA-Phe (GAA) (tRNA-Phe-GAA-1-1)". It matches the Rfam family "tRNA". From Rfam's summary of the family: Transfer RNA (tRNA) molecules are approximately 80 nucleotides in length. Their secondary structure includes four short double-helical elements and three loops (D, anti-codon, and T loops). The record is from RNAcentral. Lineage: Bacteria; Pseudomonadati; Pseudomonadota; Alphaproteobacteria; Hyphomicrobiales.
GCGUAAGCGGCUCAGAGGCGGAGCCACAGGCUGAAGACCUGUUCGCCAACGGUUCGAGUCCGUUUUUAGGCG